Molecule: long non-coding RNA, 610 nt
Filed under: Pongo abelii (Sumatran orangutan)
Lineage: Eukaryota; Metazoa; Chordata; Mammalia; Primates; Hominidae
Description: lincRNA
Source: RNAcentral
GUGAGCUAAAAGGACGCUUUUGUCAGAGUGGGGAAAUAAAAGGGCUUUAUGGGAAGGAAGAUAAGAACAGAUGAGUCAGAGGUUUCUGCUUAAUGGUGGUACAGCCAAGCAGACAGGCAAGUGGCCAUACUGCUGCUGCCUCAUGUGGGAUUCGGCAGGCUGGUGGGUUAUCAGUCCUCACGUGGGACCCUCCCACCAUGGCAGCUGAGCGCAUCCAAGCUGGGGGAUCCUGAAGAGACCUUCACCUGGGUGCCAUGUGGAAGAUUGGUCAGCACCAUUUUGACUCCUGUGGAUGGGAAACCCUGGAACAGUGUCUAUAAGUUAUGAAAAACAGAGCAAUUGAAAUGGAAUCUCACUUGGGACCCCAGUCACUGCUCCAGACUGACCAGUCAGUGGACAAGGCUUCUCGCAUUGCUCACCAGCACCCAAACUGCACCUGGUCACCUGUCUACAUUCAGAUUUGGAUGAAACCCACACCAUGGAGGCAGCCAGAAGCCCAUGGGAGAUGUCUGGAUGCACAGAGGAAUAGCUCCAUGUGAUGCAAACCUUGACUAAUGGGAACAGGAAAAGGGAGGAAACCAGGAAGAUAAAUUUGCCUCCCUUCUCAUUG